GAACGAUGCUUUCGGGCAUAGUGGCGCACGGGUGCGUAACGCGUGGGAAUCUGCCCUUUGGUUCGGAAUAACCGUUAGAAAUGACGGCUAAUACCGGAUGAUGACGUAAGUCCAAAGAUUUAUCGCCAGAGGAUGAGCCCGCGUAGGAUUAGCUAGUUGGUGUGGUAAGAGCGCACCAAGGCGACGAUCCUUAGCUGGUCUGAGAGGAUGAUCAGCCACACUGGGACUGAGACACGGCCCAG
This 242-nucleotide ribosomal RNA is filed under the name uncultured bacterium. RNAcentral describes it as "partial 16S ribosomal RNA". It matches the Rfam family "Bacterial small subunit ribosomal RNA", at positions 64 to 334 of the family's 1533-position model. The record is from RNAcentral.